GAAAUGCGAUAAGUAAUGUGAAUUGCAGAAUUCAGUGAAUCAUCGAAUCUUUGAACGCACCUUGCGCUCCUUGGUAUUCCUUGGAGCAUGCCUGUUUGAGUAUCAUGAAAUCUUCAAAGUAAAUCUUUUGUUAACUCAAUUGGUUUCUACUUUGGUAUUGGAGGUCUUUGCAGCUUCACACCUGCUCCUCUUUGUUCAUUAGUUGGAUCUCAGUGUUAUGCUUGGUUCCACUCGGCGUGAUAAGUUAUCUAUCGCUGAGGACACUGUAAAAGGUGGCCAAGGUAAAUGCAGAUGAACCGCUUCUAAUAGUCCAUUGACUUGGACAAUACUUUUAUGAUCUGAUCUCAAAUCAGGUAGGACUACCUGCUGAACUUAAGC
Molecule: unclassified non-coding RNA, 378 nt
Filed under: plant metagenome
Description: partial contains 5.8S ribosomal RNA, internal transcribed spacer 2, and large subunit ribosomal RNA
Rfam family: 5.8S ribosomal RNA (bases 1-105)
Source: RNAcentral